UACAGAGGGUGCGAGCGUUAAUCGGAAUUACUGGGCGUAAAGCGUGCGUAGACGGUUAUUUAAGUCAGAUGUGAAAGCCCCGGGCUUAACCUGGGAACUGCGUUUGAAACUGGGAGACUUGAGUGUGGCAGAGGGGGGUGGAAUUCCACGUGUAGCAGUGAAAUGCGUAGAUAUGUGGAGGAACACCAAUGGCGAAGGCAGCCCCCUGGGUCAACACUGACGCUCAUGCACGAAAGCGUGGGGAGCAAACAGG
This 253-nucleotide ribosomal RNA is filed under the name uncultured bacterium. Its description in RNAcentral is "partial 16S ribosomal RNA". It matches the Rfam family "Bacterial small subunit ribosomal RNA", at positions 524 to 776 of the family's 1533-position model. The record is from RNAcentral.